AGGAUAAACGCUGGCGGCGUGCAUGAGACAUGCAAGUCGAACGGACGAUCAGGGCUUGCUCUGAUCGUUAGUGGCGGACGGCUGAGUAACGCGUGGGUGACCUGCCCCGAAGUGGGGAAUAACUGCCCGAAAGGGUGGCUAAUACCGCAUGUGGUGGUGUGUUCAUUCACACCAGUAAAGCCGCAAGGCGCUUCGGGAGGGGCCUGCGUCCGAUUAGCUCGUUGGUGGGGUAACGGCUCACCAAGGCGACGAUCGGUAGGUGGUCUGAGAGGACGAUCACCCAGACUGGGACUGAGACACGGCCCAGACUCCUACGGGAGGCAGCAGUCGGGAAUUUUGCGCAAUGGACGAAAGUCUGACGCAGCAACGCCGCGUGAGGGAAGACGGCCUUAGGGUUGUAAACCCCUUUCAGGAGGGACGAAGGUCGGCGCGUUAAUAGCGUGUCCGACUGACGGUACCUCCACAACGAACGCCCCGGCUAACUACGUGCCAGCAGCCGC
Molecule: ribosomal RNA, 500 nt
Filed under: uncultured bacterium
Lineage: Bacteria
Description: SSU rRNA
Rfam family: Bacterial small subunit ribosomal RNA
Source: RNAcentral